Molecule: ribosomal RNA, 253 nt
Filed under: uncultured bacterium
Lineage: Bacteria
Description: partial 16S ribosomal RNA
Rfam family: Bacterial small subunit ribosomal RNA
Source: RNAcentral
UACAGAGGUGGCAAGCGUUGUUCGGAAUUACUGGGCGCAAAGGGCGCGUAGGCGGCCCUCUUAGUCGGACGUGAAAUCCCCAGGCUCAACUUGGGAACUGCGUCCGAUACUGGAGGGCCCGAGUGCGGGAGAGGGAUGUGGAAUUCCAGGUGUAGCGGUGAAAUGCGUAGAUAUCUGGAGGAACACCGGUGGCGAAGGCGGCAUCCUGGACCGACACUGACGCUGAGGCGCGAAAGCUAGGGGAGCAAACGGG